Molecule: long non-coding RNA, 194 nt
Organism: Hemicordylus capensis (graceful crag lizard)
Lineage: Eukaryota; Metazoa; Chordata; Lepidosauria; Squamata; Cordylidae
Exons: 3
Source: RefSeq, a predicted model, not a curated record
GGGGGUCCAGCUCCACUAGCGUGCAGCUGGCGAAAGAACCGAUGAGCGUUGGGGUAGGCAAGUCUAAGAGAAAUCUAUUCAACACAUUGAGAUUAUUGUUGUUCCUUCUUAUCCACCCUUCUACAUAAGAGCUCCUCUCCACCUCGCCUAACUCACCCACAAAGAGCAGCUGAGCCCCGGAAGUGUCAUAAAAG